AAGGAUAAUAAAUAAAAAUCAUCAUCUUCAGUUUUGAAAGACUUAAAUUGUUAAGUUUUUCUUUUUUUAAGCGCCAAAGGGCCUAUAGCUCAGUUGGUUAGAGCACACGCCUGAUAAGCGUGAGGUCGGUGGUUCAAGUCCAUUUAGGCCCACCAUGAUUAAAAACAGGUCCUGCUUAAAAGAAAGUUCUUUGAAAAGUAGAUAAAUAUAACUCUAUAAUUCUUAAUAAAAUU
This 233-nucleotide unclassified non-coding RNA is filed under the name Argentinian alfalfa witches'-broom phytoplasma. RNAcentral describes it as "16S-23S ribosomal RNA intergenic spacer". The stretch from base 79 to 152 matches the Rfam family "tRNA". The record is from RNAcentral. Lineage: Bacteria; Bacillati; Mycoplasmatota; Mollicutes; Acholeplasmatales; Acholeplasmataceae.